AGCGUCAUAAUUGAAACACUGUAGAAUGAGGCUGGGAGAGGCGGUGGGAGUUUCUGAGGACCGUUUGCCACUCUCCUUUGACCGGUCACCGCCGGUCAACUUCAGCCGAUGAUUUCUCCGAACCAUACCAAACGGCCCUCAAACAGAGUUCCCUCUUGUUCAGUUCUGUUCAGUUCAUUCUUAUUAUUACUCCGAAUUAAUUAAUUAUUAUUAUUAUUACUAUUAUUACUCCCACCGUUUCUUUCUAGAGGCAAUGAUGAAUCAAAUCGUACAAAGUAAUCCAAAGUUUUUCUGGGUUUGGUUGCAUUUUCCGAUGUGGGUGGUUUGCCAUUUGGCCUGGCGCAACUAGAUGGGCAUUUGGUUCCGCUAGUUGUUGCGACGAUGGUGGUGGUGGUGGUGAUUGAGACUGGAAAGUGGAAACUUAGGCUCUGUUCAGUUCAACUUAUUUUUAUUAUGCCCAUCUGGUUUGAUUUGCCGCCAUGGUUGAACUUCCCCACCUUGAAUUUGUUCCCCCAAAAGGCUUUGAUGAAAUGCGGAUCUGAGCCUCCCCAAACAAACCCUCCAAAAAAAGAUCAGAUCCAGGAAUUCAUGAACAUGAUUAUAACAUUUUGCUUACAAUUUUCUGUUUCAAUUUGAUUGAUUAUGCGAAUUUUUGUUGCUGUCUGAGUGAUUUUGAUGAAGGUGUUAACAUGGGCAAAAUUGAUUGGUUUUUUAUUGUGUUGUUUCGAAUGCCUCACGUAAUGCUAUCAAUUUUGUGGCUGCUGUUAGUGUUCAAAGGAAUGAUUGGCAUUGCCAUGGAACAGUCACUGCUUGAAGAGAGAGAAUAAAAGCAAGCAUUUCCCUGACUCUCUUUCUUCUCUGGGGGGGUCACCCAAGUCCAAUCUACAAUACAAUGAGUUCAGAUAAGUUCGACAAGAUCAGAUUGAUAGAAUAUGUUAUAUUUUGUAAAUAUUCUCUAGUAUCAACUAAAUUAUACUUUUAGUAUGUAUAGUUAGUUAUCAAUUAGUCAAUUUGCUCCAUGAUUCUAGGAUUCAUUCUAGGAGUAUAUUACUAACUAGUUUUGUAUAUAAUGAGAUGAAUGUCAAUCAAUAACUUUCAAAACUGGUAACGAAUAUACUCCUAGAAUGAUUCCUAGAAUCAUGGAGCUAAUUGAUACGGAGUAACUAACUAUGUUAAUUAUACGUUAGUUAAGAAUAUUUUAAAAAUAUAUUACAUAGUAGAACAUAUUCUAUCACAGAUAAGUUUGAGGCGAAAAGAACGCACACUAAAAAAAAUGAAUCAUCACUUCAAGAGCCUCAUUUGUUUUAUCGCCCUAGGGCCUUUAAAAUGUCAAUAAUGGCUCUGGUUGCCAGUCUACCCAAAUCGCAAUGAAUUGUUUAUAUAUUUGGAGUUAACAUAAUAACAUGUUGGUAUUUGUGGUUGUGAUUAUUUAUAUUUCUACUUUUAUAAGUAGACUGCCACGGGACUACGGAAGAUACACAUGCUCUGUUCUUUUGGACUGACUGAAUGAAUCUCAGUUGAGUCAGAGGGGUUUUUCCAUUUGUCUGGCAUCAGUAAGCUGAUGAGCUUUACUUUUUUAGCGACCAUGGUACUGACCACUGACUUUUGUUUCCAUAUGCUUGAUCAAAGGUGAAUCUGAGCCUCUGUUUAUGAAUGAAUGAAUCUCAGUUUAAUCUCAGUACAGUUCAGGUCCAUUAAUGGAUAAGGUCUAUAGAACUUUUGUCAUAGAACCUGCCCUCAGGCUUUACCACUAGGCCAAGACUUCAAUGGUCAGUUUUUUAGGCUGUGAUGAUACAUUUUUCUACUCAAGUAGACUGGCACGGAAGAAACAAAGUCAGAGGGGUUUUUCCGUUGGCCUGGCAGCAGUAAGCUGAUGAGCUUUACUUUGUUUGCCGCCAUGGUACUGACCGCUGACUUGUCUCCAUAUGCUUUGAUCAAAGGCGAAUCUGAGCCUCUGUUUUGGAUGGAAUGAAUCUCAGAUAAAGUGAAUGAAUUUCAGUUGAAUAGAACACACCAUAUUACAUUUCUGCACCAUUCACAUACUUCACUUUGACCAUCUUUGUUAUUCAUACUCUGUAUGUGAAGAAAGACAGUUUUUUGUCACUAGUGACUAGGCCAAGACCUCAUUGAUUGUAAUGAAAGACAGUCACGUGGGAUCUUGUGGGAUUCGUGUCAUUAUACAAUCUAGCGUUCCAAGGAUGGUGUUUGCAGUUAGCUGGUCAGGAGCCAAUCUGAUGAUCUCUGGUACUAAUUGACUUUCUGAUGCCAACCCAGCUAUAUAUUGAUGAAGUCUUCUCCUUCUCCACAAUCUCAUGUCUCACCAGUUCAAUGUGUUGUUCUCUGUUUUUUUGCAAGUUUUAAGUAAUCAACACCUUUUUAAUACAUUUUUUAGAUUUUGAUGAAAACACAAGAUUCCUGAUAGUAUUACGCGGUUGGUUUAGGGAGAAUGCUAGAUUUGUAAGAAUGGUGAUUGUUAUUCUGAUGAAGUUAUCUCUUCUGUAAGCAGGGUGAUUAUAAAUGUUCAUUACAAGGAUAUUGUUAUUGGCUUA
This is a long non-coding RNA of Spinacia oleracea (spinach), 2549 nucleotides long. RefSeq lists it as uncharacterized. The record is from RefSeq and is a predicted model, not a curated record. Lineage: Eukaryota; Viridiplantae; Streptophyta; Magnoliopsida; Caryophyllales; Amaranthaceae. The transcript has 3 exons.